AAAUGGUCUCCAAGUCAACAUUUUGAAAGGGGCUAAGAGCUAUGCCAUUUCUGAGAGCUGCCAGCACCCUCAGCAGGGCAAAGGGCAAGAUCUUUUCCCAGGAAAUGAAAUUACUGGAUUUAUGGUCAAGGAAAAAUCACUAACCCACAGCUCUCAGACACACUCAUGAAAAUGGGAAAAAUGCAUACACAGGGAUCAGAGAACAGAGAAACACGUGAAUCUUGUGGUUGGAAAGAAACGCACUUUGGAACUAUUUUCCACUCAUUAAGAAGAUAGCAGCAGAGACUGGCAUGGUGCAACUUCAUGGUAAGAAUCACUAGGGACUGCCAGCAGCCCCCAGAAGCUAGAAGAGAGGUGUGAAGCAGGUUCUUCCUCAGAGCCUCUUCAUUCCAGACCUCUGGCCUCCAAAACUGCAAGAGACUGCAUUUCUACCAUUUAUAGCUUUGAAAUCUGUGCUAAUUAAUUACUGAAGUCACAAGAAUACUUUACAUAAAUAAGUAUGAAAAAUUCUUAUGUAUAGAAUAAGGUCUAUACACAUGCAAUAUACGCUUAUACAUGCAUAUGUGUUUGCUUGUAUAUGUAUUUGUGUGUGUGUGUGUAUCUUUAUCUCCAGGCUGGAGU
Molecule: long non-coding RNA, 621 nt
Organism: Cercocebus atys (sooty mangabey)
Lineage: Eukaryota; Metazoa; Chordata; Mammalia; Primates; Cercopithecidae
Exons: 3
Source: RefSeq, a predicted model, not a curated record